AAAUAGUUCACUUUUUACAGUAUGCUUUCAAAAUUUUAUUUUUUGACAUUGAUUUUUGGGAUGAAGAGAGUGGGCUUAUGCUAAAUUUGGGGUCAUAAAAAUGUGCCUAACAUGGUUUUUGAAGCAGCUGUUUUGUUAUAUUACUGUAGAAUAAUUCCACACGCGCACAUAAAAGGGAGGGAUUUCAUGCUAUUGUUUCAUGGUAGUAAUGAAACCAGACCUUUGAAAACUAUGUUAAGGC
RNAcentral lists this long non-coding RNA (241 nucleotides) under Amborella trichopoda. RNAcentral's name for it is "long non-coding RNA (ATRI_LNC004069)". Lineage: Eukaryota; Viridiplantae; Streptophyta; Magnoliopsida; Amborellales; Amborellaceae. The record is from RNAcentral.